Molecule: long non-coding RNA, 2778 nt
Filed under: Salmo salar (Atlantic salmon)
Lineage: Eukaryota; Metazoa; Chordata; Actinopteri; Salmoniformes; Salmonidae
Description: lncRNA (ENSSSAG00000091899.1)
Source: RNAcentral
CCCGCCCUGUGUAACUGGGUCCUGGACUUCCUGACGGGCCGCCCCCAGGUGGUGAGGGUAGGAAACAACAUCUCCACCCCGCUGAUCCUCAACACUGGGGCCCCAUAAGGGUGCGUUCUCAGCCAUCUCCUGUACUCCCUGUUCACCCAUGACUGUGUGGCCAUGGCCUCCAACUCAAUAAUCAAGUUUGCAGACGACACUACAGUGGUGGGCUUGAUUACCAAUAACGACGAGACGGCCUACAGGGAGGAGGUGAGGGCCCUCGGAUUGUGGUGUCAGGAAAAUAACCUCACACUCAACGUCAACAAAACAAAGGAGAUGAUCGUGAACUUCAGGAAACAGCAGAGGGAGCAGCCCCCUAUCCACAUCGACGGAACAGUAGUGGAGAAGGUGGAAAGUUUUAAGUUCCUCGGCGUACACAUCACGGACAAACUGAAAUGGUCCACCCACACACACAGCGUGGUGAAGAAGGUGCAACAGCGCCUCUUCAACCUCAGGAGGCUGAAGAAAUUCGGCUUGUCACCAAAAACACUCACAAACUUUUACAGAUGCACAAUCGAGAGCAUCCUGUCGGGCUGUAUCACCGCCUGGUACGGCAACUGCUCCGCCCACAACCGUAAGGCUCUCCAGAGGGUAGGUGAGGUCUGCACAACGCAUCACCGGGGGCAAACUACCUAUAAGUCAUCUAUGCUAGGUAAAGCUCCGCCUUACCUCAGCUCACUGGUGACGAUAACAACACUUUCCCGUAGCACGCGCUCCAGCAGGUAUAUCUCACUAGUCAUCCCCAAAGCAAACAUAUGCUUUGGCCUCCUUUCCUUCCAGUUCUCUGCUGCCAGUGACUGGAACGGAUUGCAAAAAUCGCUGAAGCUGGAGACUUACAAUUCCUUCACUAACUUUAAACAUCAGCUAUCUGAGCAGCUAACCGAUCACUUCAGCUGUACAUAGUCCAUCUGUAAAUAGCCCACCCAACCGACCAACCUCAUCCCCAUAUUCUUUUUAUUUACUUUUCUGCUCUUUUCCACACCAGUAUCACUACUUGCACAUCAUCAUCUGCUCAUCUAUCACUCCAGUGUUAAUCUGCUAAAUUGUAAUUACUUCGGUACUAUGGCCUAUUUAUUGCCUUACCUCCUCACGCCAUUUGCACACACUGUAUAUAGACUUUAUUUGUUCUAUUGUGUUAUUGACUGUACGCUUGUUUAUUCCAAGUGUAACUCUGUGUUGUUGUUUGUGUCGCACUGCUUUACUUUAUGUUGGCCAGGUCGCAGUUGUAAAUGAGAACUUGUUCUCAACUAGCUGACCUGGUUAAAUAAAGGUGAAAUAAAAAUAAAUAAAACAAUUGAGCAGGGCUGGAGGCUCGACAGUGAAACGAGACAAAAAUCACAAACCAAAACAGCCGUAGACAAGGCAUAUUGACAUUAGGGAGAGGCAUGUGUAGCCGAGUGAUCAUAGGGUCCAGUGAGUAGCUAGGCGAGCUGGAGACACGGCGAUUCAGACAGCUAGCAGGUUAGCAUAUGGGCCUCAGGGGGAUGUCGCAACGGAAGAGCCUGUUGAAAACACCUCGGACGGUUACGUCGGCAGACCAGUCGUGAUGGAUUGGCGGGGCUCCGUGUCGGCAGCAAAGGGUCCAGGCCAAUUGGCAAAAGAGGUAUUGAAACCUAAGAAUUGUCUGAUGGAUCUCUUUGCCUAGCCUGGAGAUGGGCCUAGCUCGAGGCUAUCUCCAGGCUAACUGGUGCUUGCUUUGGGACAGAGACGUUAGCCAGGAGUAGCCACUCGGAUAGCAGCUAGCUAGCUGCGAUGAUCCGGAGUAAAGGUUCAGAGCUUGAGGUAGGAAUCCGGAGAUGUGGUAGAGAAAAAGCAGUCCGAUAUGCUCUGGGUUGAUAUCGCUGUGCAGACUGGCAGGAAUUGACCGGGCUGAGCCGACUCAGACACUCUUGACACCCAUUACAAAUGGGAACUACAAAUGGGGUUCAUGCGCACAGUGCAAUUGCACUAUAAAAACAUCCUUCUUCAGACACCAACAUACAGUUCGAAAAUUUCCUGUUAGGGGUAUCAUCUCAUGCAAGACCAAGGGAGUAAUCUAUCUGAUCACCUGUUCAUGUGGAAAAGCCUACGCAGGACAAACGCAUUGAGCAUGUUGCUCUACCAAGGAGAGGAGGUAACAUCGAGAUCCUACUACUACAAAGGGAGGCUUACUGGAUAUCCUGUCUAAAAACAUUGACCCCUAGUGGUCUGAAUAUUGACUUUGAUCUCAGGCCCUUUUUAUGAACAAUUCUUUAUUUUAUGAACAAGUCUUACAAAUUGAUAUAUUCUUUCUACAGCUUAUUAGCAUACACCUAAUAAGUUACCCCUGUUGAUGAUGCUUAUUAUGCAAUAAGGUUUAACCAAAAGAUUACAUGUAACAAAUAUGAAAUACGAAACAAUUAAAUAUGUGAAAUUGAAUUAAACAAUACUGUAUGUUGAUGCUAAUAUUAUGUACAAUAUUAAAUUAUGUUUCUAUAUGAGAACAAUAACCUAAUAUAUUUAAUAUGCCAUAAACUAUUGUUUCUAACAGUUUCACAAAUUUAUUCGAAUUAACUUAAUCAUUAUGACACACCCCUCACUAUUGUCAUUGAUUGCACUAAUUGCACUGUUUGUCUACAUAGCCUGGUUCAAGUAUUCAUGACAUUACCCUGAAGAAGGCACAAUGAUGCUGGUUGGUAAAUACCCAAUAAAUGACUGGGAGUUUAUAUAUGGAGUGUGCGACUCUCUUUAUUUUGUCAGUUUAAAAUUCAGACUGUA